Molecule: long non-coding RNA, 1276 nt
Organism: Salvelinus namaycush (lake trout)
Lineage: Eukaryota; Metazoa; Chordata; Actinopteri; Salmoniformes; Salmonidae
Exons: 2
Source: RefSeq, a predicted model, not a curated record
UUCUGUUAAGCUCGGCCAUAUUGUGUAAGUGUUUGUCACAUGCGAAUUGCAUCAGUAUUGAAAAUAAAAACCAGAAAUACAAACGAUAAACAGAUCAGCAUCGGCCUACUUAAGCUUGGGUUGAUAACACUCCUCGGUGGAUAUUUUGUCUCACAUUCCUAUCUGCAAAAGAACCAACCGAUGAACCCAAAGCCACCAUGGGUCAGACGAAUGGCAACGGUUGGCCACAGAAUGGUGCCAUCUCCACCAAUGGCCACAUGCCAACACACCUCAAGGGGGCCAACGCUGCCGUGCUGUCGACCAGCUUCUCCUCGCCAUGGGGACUGCUGGCCUUGGCUACCUCCACUGAAAACGGGCUGUCAUCAUGGCCAGCUUUUCAGGAGGCGGAGGAGACCCGGCGGCGUUCAGCCCAUUAGAUGUGCGGUUCACUACACCUGACGGGAAGCCCCAGCAACUGCGUGUCCCACCGGCCCUCCUGGGAGGCCAUGGCCAGCGACCUGAGGGACACCCUGCACUACGGACACUACCAUGGCUUCGGGGACACGGCAGAGGACCUGGCUGAGGAGCACAGCAGCUUGGUGCACGUCGAGCAGCUUUACGACCAGGCCGUGCUCAGUACCUUGCACCUCUACCACGGAUCCUAAAUAGGGGGAGGCUGGCCCUUCCCAAGUAAGUAGUCUGUCUAUCUACCUGCCCCGGCGGUGGCACAACUUUGCCUACAGCCGCUAGCCUGCCUUAAAACUCAAUGGUUACCAUAACAUCGUUGUUGCACUGGGGAUGGAGAGAAGAGUCACUUUGGCCCAUCUACCAAAGGGAACAAAUAGCAUUGUUGUUUUUGUAUUUGAUAUUUGAAAUCCUUAGUCUAUUAUUGUCUGUGUUGUAGCACAACAGAUGUGAUUGUGGUAAGCUGAUCAUAGUUUGUCUGGUGAUGGUAUUGCAUACAAUGCAUUAGUUUGUUUCUCAAAGGUGCGGGUUAUUAGAAUUAUGAGUUAUGAUAAGAUGGCGAUGCCAGAUUUUUGUGUUAGACAGAAAGCGUAAAUGACUUGUGUUUGGCAUGUAGGUUCUGUGCCAACAAUUAUGUUAAAUCUAUUAAGGCACAAACAAAACCCCCAAAAAAUUUUUUUACUGAGUUUGUUUUUACCUUGUUGUUCCUUGUCUAUACUUGGAGCACUACAAACAGUAUUUCUCAUGAAGACAAUCUAUAAACUGACUUAUCGCAGUCCUUUUUACAUUCAUUUUUUGGGGUCUUCUGAAAUAAAAAUUUGAUCAAAUUGCA